GACGUAGGGCGCGAGCGUUGUCCGGAUUUAUUGGGCGUAAAGAGCUCGUAGGCGGCUUGUCACGUCGGAUGUGAAAGCCCGAGGCUUAACCUCGGGUCUGCAUUCGAUACGGGCUAGCUAGAGUGUGGUAGGGGAGAUCGGAAUUCCUGGUGUAGCGGUGAAAUGCGCAGAUAUCAGGAGGAACACCGGUGGCGAAGGCGGCUUUCUGGACGGUAACUGACGCUGAGACGCGAAAGCGUGGGGAGCAAACAGG
This 253-nucleotide ribosomal RNA is filed under the name uncultured bacterium. RNAcentral's name for it is "partial 16S ribosomal RNA". It matches the Rfam family "Bacterial small subunit ribosomal RNA", at positions 524 to 776 of the family's 1533-position model. The record is from RNAcentral.